Sarcophilus harrisii (Tasmanian devil) is the source of this 1089-nucleotide RNA transcript. It is a transcript of the gene named myocilin opposite strand, with no coding region annotated. The record is from RefSeq and is a predicted model, not a curated record. Lineage: Eukaryota; Metazoa; Chordata; Mammalia; Dasyuromorphia; Dasyuridae. The transcript has 5 exons.
UGAGGGACAGUGAAAUAGCCCCCUAUUUAAAAAGUUUGAGGACCGCUGAAAAGCCGGCAGGCCUACUAAGUGAGCCCAGCUGUGGGCUCUCUAGCACCUGAUUAGUCAAGCCUUUCCUUCAGUCUUUGAAAUUAGGGCACUAAGUAAAGGUGCUUAAGUUGACAGGGUUUGAGAAAGUUUAAGCAGUCAAGGGUUCAAGUUGGAGGCCACUUGCUUGCUUACUAAGGCCUUCCUUUGAUGGGCAAGAAGAUUGAACUUCCUAUCAAAAUUUAAAAAAAAAAAAAAGAAAUCUGUUCAUUAAGAAGAAGGAACUCAAAAGUUAUUUCCAGAAGUGUUCACAUCUCUGCCCAAUGAAGGCUCAUCCAGAUAAUUCAUCUUCGUGAAAGCCAAGGAUUCAAGCCAUUUAGGAAACAAGGGAGUACUUUGCUGUCAAAAUACACCUUCAGGAUUGGUUCAGAGGUGCUCCUUCCAUGAAACCUUUCAUGAUUUGACUCUCAGCCCUAAACCUCAGCUGAAAGAUUCAGCAAUGACACUCAGAACACUGCAGGAGUUGGGAAGUUCUCAUCCUUCCUUGGCAUUCCAAGCAGGAGCAUCUCCUGUGGUCAAAAGCAUUAAUAUCCUUUACAAAGACCUGACCAUGGAGGUGUUCAAGAGAAGGGUCACCAUGAGUCAGAGAAUAAUGAAGCUAGGAUUCUCUUCUCCCUCCGGCACGACUUCUCCUAUACUCCUUGUCCCGCCACCACCUCCUCCAUCUCCUGUCGAGGGCUAUGGAAACCCUUGUAGGCUUCUGAAAAGUCCUGAAAUCUCUGAUACCUGACUGAAGUAACUCACACUGAGUUUUGUCUCAUGCGUCUCCAAGGGACCCAGCAGCUUCAGAUACAUCUCUGCCUUGCACCCAUUUUCCACUGCGAGUGAGAGUUUUGUUCCCUUGACCUCAAUUGUUAUUCUUUGGCAGAAGUGUUUUUAAAAAUUCUUUUUAAACCAAAAUUUUGACAUGAAGUAGGUAUAGUUUUGGGGGUCUUUGAUGUUAUAUUGUAGAAUACUUGUUGUCUUUUGUAAUUGGUGAAAGAAAUAAAACCUUGAAAGUGU